UGGAAUGGCUGGAGGAAUGUGGUGUAAGGCUAGACUGUAUUGUGACAGACCGACAUCCCCAGAUUCAAAAGUUUCUGAAAGAACGAAAUGUCACACAGUACUAUGAUGUCUGGCAUUUGGAGAAAGGGUUGUCAAAGAAGUUAGAGCAAAUUGCCAGAGACAAGGACUGUUCAAUAGUGAAAAAGUGGCAGCACAACAUAAGAAACCAUCUCUACUGGACUGCAGCAUCCUCUACAUCAGGACCAGAGAAGGUUCAAAACCACUUUACAGAGUCGAAAAGGUGCUGACUAACAACAGAGUCCUCAAAGAUGUAGCAAAGCUCAGCCCUCACUUCCAGAACUCAUCCUUGGAGGCCUUUCACAGUGUUAUUUUACGCUUUGCCCCCAAAAGUGUGGUAUUUCCUUUUAUUGAAAUGCUGUGCAGGUUGUAUUUGGCUGGCAUGCAUUUCAAUGAAAAUUCAAACCGUCCAAAGGCUACUACAUCAUCUGGAAAGCCAAUGUACAGACUUUUGUUCCCCAAGGCUAAAAAAGGAUUGUACACCAUAAAACCAGUGACAUCCAACCCAACGUACUGUAAGUUUGAAUAGAUGUUUUAAUUAGUAAUUUACAAAAAAAUAAACUAAAUGCAAUACACAAAAGUGCAUAGAACUUAAAUUACAGUAUUUAAAAACAAAAUUCCAUGCUACGUCUACAAUCUGAUGACACUGCUUUUUGAAAAGUUUCUGCUAGAUCCUUUUCCCUACAUGGAGGAACUGCAUAAAAUUACAGUGCCUGACAAUCUAUGCACACAGUAUGACAGACCUUCAUUGGAGGAGGCCAUUGCUGAGCACGUGUCAAGGUUUAGUUAAGGGGCAGUUUGAAUCCGACAUAGCUGCCUUCCGCAUCUGGGAAUUUUUGCCGUAUACACAGGACAACACAUGAUGGUAUUACAACCCUACAACUUUCUGCCUAGAUAGCCCCAGCACCAACUGACAAAGCUUCUGUAAGCCAAAUGCCUGUAGCGCCUGAUGGAAACAGAGAAAAGACAUUUCAGAUUAUACAUUCAAAAGGUGUUUUGUAAAGUGUUGUGUGUGUGUGUGUGUGUGUGUGUGUGUGUAU
Long non-coding RNA from Carassius carassius (crucian carp), 1097 nucleotides. RefSeq lists it as uncharacterized. The record is from RefSeq and is a predicted model, not a curated record. The transcript is spliced from 4 exons. NCBI's taxonomy places the organism in Eukaryota, Metazoa, Chordata, Actinopteri, Cypriniformes, Cyprinidae.